This 72-nucleotide transfer RNA is filed under the name Candidatus Woesearchaeota archaeon. Its description in RNAcentral is "tRNA-Gly". It matches the Rfam family "tRNA". Rfam says of the family: Transfer RNA (tRNA) molecules are approximately 80 nucleotides in length. Lineage: Archaea; Nanobdellati; Candidatus Woesearchaeota. The record is from RNAcentral.
GCGCUGGUAGUGUAAUGGCUAGCAUAGGAGCCUUCCAAGCUCUUGAUCCGGGUUCGAAUCCCGGCUGGCGCA